Corapipo altera (White-ruffed manakin) is the source of this 1009-nucleotide long non-coding RNA. RefSeq lists it as uncharacterized. The transcript has 6 exons. The record is from RefSeq and is a predicted model, not a curated record. NCBI's taxonomy places the organism in Eukaryota, Metazoa, Chordata, Aves, Passeriformes, Pipridae.
GUUUGUCCUCUCUUCAAAACUAUCUGGAUUACAUAGGCAAAUUUCUAAACUGAACUACUUAGCCUUUCUGCUUGUUAAUACCAUCUACUUAUUCUUUGUAAAAUCUGCAAUAGCACUGUGGAUGGGAUUUUGUUGUAGGCUAGAUGUGAAUUCUUUCUUCUAUCAAGAGAAACAGCCUGAUGUGAAGCUUGCUGGCUUUUGUUUGGACUGGAAGGCUGAUGAACAGACUUUUUAGAAAGAAAGAGGAGAGGUGGGAAACACAUGUGUGUGUCCAUGAAGACAAAGAACAGAGACUACUUAAAAAGGGAAAUGCCCUGAUGCACUAGAGGAAGAAGAAAUGAACCUGCAGACUUUAUUCCUCACUGCAAGAUGACCCAUCUUAGGAAGGCAGAUUUGGUAAAACUGCUCAUCGGACAAUCAGAAUUUGCAGUUCCCAUCUGCUACAAGCUGGGCCUUGGGCUGGAGAAGUAGCUGCAGGCUGCUGCUCUCCAAAGGAGCUCAGAAAUUAGGGUCUGUCUGCAUCACAGUACCAGGAGUUCAUUUAUCUCUUUUUGGAAAUGACAGUGUCCUAAAUGAACAUAGUGGAGAGCAUGGGCAGGCCAAUGAACACACCUUAAAACAAGUGGCUUUCCUCAGAUGAAUGAAGGGACACACUGUUUGCAAGCCUUCUAGUGCUGAGAGGAAGCUUUUAACCUAUGACUUAUAAUCAUGUGCUGUAGUGUCAACCUCAGGAAACAUGAAAUGCAAUACUUAUGCCUCAGUUAUAAAUAGAUGCGUUUGGCUACUUUCUGGAAAAGUGCCUUACUUCCUCGGAGUGGAGGAGCUGGUUCAGUCUUGAGUUUGUCUUUGGUGAGUGUGGGCAACUGGGCCAGUGGCACUGCUCCCACAAAUUGCCUAGCAGGAACCAUGCAUGUGCUGGGACACAUCAUUUCUGCCCUUGAAAGGAGAUAGGGAGAGACCUGCCCAGGGUUCCCUGAAUCUCUGAGGAAGAAACCAGGCUGCUUGUGCA